RNAcentral lists this ribosomal RNA (737 nucleotides) under uncultured archaeon. RNAcentral describes it as "bacterial SSU rRNA". It matches the Rfam family "Archaeal small subunit ribosomal RNA", at positions 57 to 799 of the family's 1478-position model. The record is from RNAcentral.
GUCGAGAGGGUUCGGCCCUCGGCAGACGGCUCAGUAACACGUGGAUAAUCUGCCCUUAGGUGGAGGAUAACCUCGGGAAACUGAGAAUAAUACUCCAUAGAUCUAGGAUGCUGGAAUGCAUCUAGGUUGAAAGUUCCGGCGCCUAAGGAUGAGUCUGCGGACUACCAGGCUGUAGCCAGGGUAAAGACCUGACUAACCUACGACGGAUACGGGUUGUGAGAGCAAUAACCCGGAGACGAUAUCUGAGACACGAUAUCGGGCCCUACGGGGCGCAGCAGGCGCGAAACCUUCACACUGUGCGAAAGCACGAUGAGGGGAUCCCAAGUGCUUGCACGUAAGUGUAAGCUGUUUCUGUGUCUAAAAAGCAUAGAGAGUAAGGGCUGGGUAAGACGGGUGCCAGCCGCCGCGGUAAUACCUGCAGCUCAAGUGGUGACCGCUAUUAUUGGGCCUAAAACGUUCGUAGCCGGUUUAGUAAAUGCCUGGGUAAAUCGUGUAGCUUAACUAUACGAAUUCCGGGUAGACUGCUAAACUUGAGACCGGGAGAGGCUAGAGGUACUUCUGGGGUAGAGGUGAAAUCCUGUAAUCCUAGGGGGACCACCAGUGGCGAAGGCGUCUAGCUAGAACGGGUCUGACGGUGAGGGACGAAGCCCUGGGGCACAAACCGGAUUAGAUACCCGGGUAGUCCAGGGUGUAAACGCUGCUUGCUUGAUGUUAGUCGGGCUCUGAGCCCGAUUAGU